GUAUACAGCCAUGUCACCCUGCAGCCCAAGACUGGUUACUCACUGAAGCUAAGCAGGGCUGAGCCUGGUCAGUACCUGGAUGGGAGACCACUAGGGAACACUAGGUUGCUGUUGGAA
This 117-nucleotide ribosomal RNA is filed under the name Danio rerio (zebrafish). The record is from RNAcentral. Lineage: Eukaryota; Metazoa; Chordata; Actinopteri; Cypriniformes; Danionidae.